UCUCUGUUAGUAUAUCGGUUAGUACACGCGCCUGUCAACAGCUGCUACUGGACGCGCGAAAGCGGGGUUCGACUCCCCGACAGAGAG
Pilatotrama ljubarskyi is the source of this 87-nucleotide non-coding RNA. The record is from the annotation of a GenBank genome assembly. Lineage: Eukaryota; Fungi; Basidiomycota; Agaricomycetes; Polyporales; Polyporaceae.